This 212-nucleotide ribosomal RNA is filed under the name uncultured bacterium. Its description in RNAcentral is "partial 16S ribosomal RNA". It matches the Rfam family "Bacterial small subunit ribosomal RNA", at positions 1289 to 1500 of the family's 1533-position model. The record is from RNAcentral.
CAGUUCGGAUUGUAGUCUGCAACCCGACUACAUGAAGCUGGAAUCGCUAGUAAUCGCGGAUCAGAAUGUCGCGGUGAAUACGUUCCCGGGUCUUGUACACACCGCCCGUCACACCAUGGGAGCCGGAAAUGCCCGAAGCCAGUGACCCAACCUUAGGGAGGGAGCUGUCGAAGGUGGAGCCGGUAACUGGGGUGAAGUCGUAACAAGGUAGC